RNAcentral lists this ribosomal RNA (437 nucleotides) under Salmonella enterica. RNAcentral describes it as "partial 23S ribosomal RNA". It matches the Rfam family "Bacterial large subunit ribosomal RNA", at positions 1320 to 1757 of the family's 2925-position model. Lineage: Bacteria; Pseudomonadati; Pseudomonadota; Gammaproteobacteria; Enterobacterales; Enterobacteriaceae. The record is from RNAcentral.
GGUGAAAAGCCCGCUCGCCGGAAGACCAAGGGUUCCUGUCCAACGUUAAUCGGGGCAGGGUGAGUCGACCCCUAAGGCGAGGCCGAAAGGCGUAGUCGAUGGGAAACGGGUUAAUAUUCCCGUACUUGGUGUUACUGCGAAGGGGGGACGGAGAAGGCUAUGUUGGCCGGGCGACGGUUGUCCCGGUUUAAGCGUGUAGGUGUGUGUUCCAGGUAAAUCCGGUUCACUUUAACACUGAGGCGUGAUGACGAGGCACUACGGUGCUGAAGCAACAAAUGCCCUGCUUCCAGGAAAAGCCUCUAAGCAUCAGGUAACAUCAAAUCGUACCCCAAACCGACACAGGUGGUCAGGUAGAGAAUACCAAGGCGCUUGAGAGAACUCGGGUGAAGGAACUAGGCAAAAUGGUGCCGUAACUUCGGGAGAAGGCACGCUGACAC